Long non-coding RNA from Homo sapiens (human), 262 nucleotides. RefSeq lists it as uncharacterized. Lineage: Eukaryota; Metazoa; Chordata; Mammalia; Primates; Hominidae. The transcript has 3 exons. The record is from RefSeq and is a predicted model, not a curated record.
UGGAGGAGGCGCCCAGGGCGGCAGGUGCUGGGGCGCUCACCUGGGGGACAGCGGUGACGAAAACGCCAGUGUUUUAGAGGCAAACGAGGGAUCUGGGAUACGACAUUGACAGGGAAAAGCCUGAAAUUUUGGCAUGGCCAACUCAGAGUGUGGAGUCAACGCAGGCAUCUAAUCUUAAUUGUGAUCUAAAUGCUGUAACAGCUCCUCAGAUGCCUCAUUUGGCUUAAUGCUGAUAGCUUUUGAUAUUCACAUGGCAUUCAAC